UACGUAGGGUGCAAGCGUUAAUCGGAAUUACUGGGCGUAAAGCGUGCGCAGGCGGCUUUGCAAGACAGAUGUGAAAUCCCCGGGCUUAACCUGGGAACUGCAUUUGUGACUGCUUGGCUGGAGUGCGGCAGAGGGGGAUGGAAUUCCGCGUGUAGCAGUGAAAUGCGUAGAUAUGCGGAGGAACACCGAUGGCGAAGGCAAUCCCCUGGGCCUGCACUGACGCUGUGGCGCGAAAGCUAGGGGAGCAAACGGG
This 253-nucleotide ribosomal RNA is filed under the name uncultured bacterium. RNAcentral's name for it is "partial 16S ribosomal RNA". It matches the Rfam family "Bacterial small subunit ribosomal RNA", at positions 524 to 776 of the family's 1533-position model. The record is from RNAcentral.